CCGUCCCCGUGGUGUCCCCAUGUCCCCAAUGUCACCCCCGUCCCCGUGUCACUCCCCCUCCGUGUCCGCCCCGUCCCUGUGUCCCUGCGUCACCGCUGCCCCCCAAUGUCACCACUGCCCCCGAUGUCCCCAAUGUCCCCCCCCAAUGUCCCCACAGAAGCGCUGGGCCAAUGAGCGGCUGCUGCAGGGCAAGAAGAGCCUGGGGGAGGAGGAGAACCUCUAUGAGGGCCUGGAUUUGGCGCAGUGCUCCAUGUAUGAGGACAUCUCGCAGCGCCCGCAGCCCACCUAUGAGGACGUGGGGACGCGCGGAGCCACCGCCGCCGGCCUGGAGAAACCCUGAGGGGGUGGGGGGGCGGUGACGUCACGCUGACGUCACGGUGACGUCACGGCGGCGGCACGGCGGGGACAGCGCCCGCUGCUGUUUGGGGUUUGCGGCCUUUUGGGUUUGUUACACAAUAAAGAGCGCUGCGCUCA
RNA transcript from Gallus gallus (chicken), 474 nucleotides. It is a transcript of the gene named B-cell antigen receptor complex-associated protein alpha chain-like, with no coding region annotated. NCBI's taxonomy places the organism in Eukaryota, Metazoa, Chordata, Aves, Galliformes, Phasianidae. The record is from RefSeq and is a predicted model, not a curated record. The transcript is spliced from 2 exons.